AGGGCAUCCCUUCUGAUUGAAGCGACUGAUAAUAAUGGGGGGCCUGAAUUAUAUAAGCAUGAACCAAGGGUAAAAAACAAUGACAACUUGGGACCCUCUAUUGUUGACCAAGAGUUGGAAGUGUCUACAAGGGUGAGUGACGGAGGUGAAAGGGCAGAUGGAAGGCCUUUGAAGCAGCGACUGCUAGUGGUGGCCAAUAGGCUCCCGGUCUCUGCAGGCAGGACAGGUGAAGACUCUUGGUCUCUAGAGAUAAGUGCUAGGGGUCUGAUCAGUGCCCUUGGGUGCGAAGGAGUUGAGGCGAGAUGGAUAUGAUGGGCUGGAGUAAAUGUGCCAGAUGAGAUUGGACAGAAAGCACUUACUAAAGCAUUGGCUUAAAAGAGGUGUAUUCCUGUAUUCCUUGAUGAGGACAUUGUUCAUCAAUACUACAAUGGCUAUUGCAACAACAUCUUGUGGCCUCUUUUUCGUUACCUUGGACUUCUGCAAGAAGGCUGCUUGGCCACCACCAGGAGUUUCCAGUCUCAGUUUGCUGCAUAUAUAAAGGCAAAUCAAAUGUUUGCUGAGGCUGUAAACAAACACUAUAAGGAUGGAGAUGUUGUGUGGUGCCGUGACUACCAUCUAUUGUUUCUUCCAAAGUGCCUAAAGGACCGCAACAGUGGAAUGAAAGUCAGUUGGUUUCUCCACACACCCUUCCCUUCUUCUGAAAUCCACAGGACACUUCCAUCUCAAUCAGAUCUGCUGCAUGCAGUUCUAGCUGCUGAUUUGGUUGGGUGAGUUUUUGUUGUAUUCUGCAUGUUGCUUAGAACUGAUGAAUUUUACUCAGAAACUCAAUUUUGGUUGUCAUGAAUGUUUCUCAUGGUAAGGUUAUAGCUAGGUUAUUCUUUGAUCCAAUGAAUGUUAUAGUUAAUAACCUAAAAGACAAUAGGCAUAUUUCUGUUUACACCAACUUUUGUUGCAUUGACCUAAGCCUUUGUAUUUUAGUUCUUACAAUGUGAGAAAAUUAAGUGGAUGUAAGGAAAAGCUGUUGUGGGUUUCCC
Molecule: long non-coding RNA, 1034 nt
Organism: Pistacia vera
Lineage: Eukaryota; Viridiplantae; Streptophyta; Magnoliopsida; Sapindales; Anacardiaceae
Exons: 3
Source: RefSeq, a predicted model, not a curated record